Molecule: long non-coding RNA, 805 nt
Organism: Acromyrmex echinatior (Panamanian leafcutter ant)
Lineage: Eukaryota; Metazoa; Arthropoda; Insecta; Hymenoptera; Formicidae
Source: RefSeq, a predicted model, not a curated record
UGCUUUCUUAAAAGUAUGUUAGAUGCAUUUAUGAUUUUUAUUUCAAACGCUUCGCAAAAGAAGCACUUUAUUUCCGUUUUCUUUCCUUCUCUCUCUUUUUUUUUAUUUCAGAAGAUAAUUCUCCUAACUCUCCUAGCCGAAUAAUUUUCGGGCAUCCUUAGGCUUUCUCACGCUGAUUCAGUAUGAGGGAGGUAUGUUGUCGAGUGCGAGACUUGCACGUUCACAAAUCAAACAAGUGUAAAGAGGCAGCAGGAGAAUGAUUCGCUGCACAUUCACGCCGCCGCGCGUCCUGUCGCCCCUCGUCAAACACCAUCGGGUUCGACGCGCGCGGACGGAAGAUCCUUAUCUCGAAUCAAAGAUGCAAAAUCUUCGUUCAAGAGGCGAGGAAGGCCUUUUCUCAGAUUGUGAUCCUCAACUUUAUCAAAGAUUGUUGAUCGAUUUCUUGAUGGGAAAUAGUUGACUUGUGCAUUUACGUUAAAAGAAAGAUUAUUCUUUUUGAAGAAGAUUAUGUUCCUGAACAAUCAAAAGAAAGAAAAGAGAAGUAGAGAAAAAAAAAGAGUGAGAGAGACAUAUUGAAAAACAGAUGAUGAUUCUAGCAAAGAUUUGAAGUCAUUUGCACUUCGUCAAGAGUUAAGUCAAGAGUUAGGUUUGUCUCAAUUUGUCCCUCUCAUUGAAGUAAAUGUACCUUCCAAGCGCAAUUUACGAGAGAAAACGAUGUCUUUUACAGGAUAAAACUACUUGAACAGAGAAACAAGACGACAAAUCAAAAUUCACUUAUGCCAUUUAUUAUUCAAAUAGAAUCCAA